RNAcentral lists this long non-coding RNA (3357 nucleotides) under Prunus persica (peach). RNAcentral's name for it is "long non-coding RNA (PPER_LNC006852)". The record is from RNAcentral. Lineage: Eukaryota; Viridiplantae; Streptophyta; Magnoliopsida; Rosales; Rosaceae.
AGAAAUUGGGAUGGUGGAUGUUAAUGUUUGUAUAGGCGAAACAAUUGUUUGUCACACACAUAAAAUUCAAAUCUCAUGUUGAAAUACGAAACCCAAAGUUCUAAGUUAUGUAAUUAUUUUACAGCUUGAAGUAUAGAACUCAAACAUGUAGCUUUGAGUGACUAAUUACGCAUGUGUUCAUUUACUUAUUUAUUUUAGUAAUUUGAUAACCUUUUUAUUAUUGAGGCAUAUUUUAAUUUUUCAUGACAAUUAAUUAGUUCUGAAAUUUUUUUAUUUUAUUUUUUUAGACGUAUUCAAUAAUAUCAAAUCUCACGAAGCUUAAGUUUGUUGCACUUGACAUUUAUGGCAAGAACUAUUUGACAUGGAUCCUCGAUGCUGAAAUUCAUUUGAAUGCAAAGGAUCUUGGAAAUACCAUGAAGAAGGAAAAUGAAGCAUCUCGGCAGGAUCGCUUGAAAGCUAUGAUUUUCCUUCGCCAUCACAUUCAUGAAGGGUUGAGAUCUGAAUACAUUGGGGUGAAGGAUUCCACUAUCCUAUGGAAAAAUUUGGAAGAAAGGUAUGACCAUCAAAAGAGUUUAAUUCUUUCAAAGGCUCGUUAUGAUUGGAUGCACCCGCGCUUAUAGGAUUUCAAAACAAUGAAUGAGUAUAACUCAGCAAUGUUCAAAACUGUCUGACAGGACCCGCCCCUAAUUCCUCAAAACCUAAGACGAAUCCUGUGGAAAUCCCGACAUCACUCUAAUGUCGGGCCCACUCACUAAAACUGUAGCCUCUUUUUUCAAAAAGGAAUAAAGGCACAAGACAUUCUACCGAAAUUCCAGCAUAGUCUCCCUUGUAAAUUGAACAUUUCUCAAAUUUCAACCUGCACAAAGUUCACAAUUUAAUAUCCCAACAAGCAGCACGCACAAUAUAACAACAUGCAAUUCACAUAGACAGCCUCCGGCCUUCAAAUGAUCUGAUAAGCUCAUAAUUUCACACAUUUGCAUGCCUUCUUUCCUUAGUAAUUUUGUUAGCUUCUCUUUAUUUUAAGUCUCUUACCUAUGUUUGUGUGCUUUGUAGGUUAAGAUAGCAAGGGGAUGACAUUUGAUAUAAUUCAUGCAUGUUAAGGGCUGAGUGGCACAAGAGGAAUAUGGGCUUAAAGACAAAACCAAUUUGUGCCACACUCCUUGUCAGUCCAGUUUCGUAGGUCAUCUUGCAGGCCUCCUUUCAGUAACUUACACAGGUCGGAUGAGGAGACAUCCUUCAUAGACGUUGUUCCAAUGGGUGUCUAUUAUAACAUAUCCAAAUUUCAGCCCAAUUGGAUAAAUCUAGAGCCCUCAACACGUCAAAGACUGAACCAAGUUCACUGAAAAGUCAUAGUUGGCUGCCAUCAUAUUUAAUGUGGCUACAUCUCUAGAGCCAUGUGCUACACAUUAGAGCAGCCACACAUGGGAGACAAAUCAAUAUGGGCAGCUAGAAUUGGCACAUGGGCAGCUGGAGUUGGCAUAUGGGCAGCUAGAAUUGGCACAUGGGCAGCUGGAGUUGGCAUAUGGGCAGCUGGAUUUGGCACAUGGGCAGCUAGAGCAAGUGGAAACAGCUAAGAGAGGUGUGCUUCACCAGCCAAAGGGGAGCACGAAAUUGCACUCUAUAAAUAGAGAGUUGCACACUCAUUCAAGGGAAGAGAGGGCAGACACACACAUUCACUUCAUCCAUUACUCUCAUACACACAUUCAGAUUCACCACAAAGAGAGAAGGGACCUUGGAGCUGUCCUGGGAACUACCUUGCUGCCACCAUCUAGUCCUUCUCCUCUCUUCCCUUGAAUGAGUGUGCAACUCUCUAUUUAUAGAGUGCAAUUUCGUGCUCCCCUUUGGCUGGUGAAGCACACCUCUCUUAGCUGUUUCCACUUGCUCUAGCUGCCCAUGUGCCAAAUCCAGCUGCCCAUAUGCCAACUCCAGCUGCCCAUGUGCCAAUUCUAGCUGCCCAUAUGCCAACUCCAGCUGCCCAUGUGCCAAUUCUAGCUGCCCAUAUUGAUUUGUCUCCCAUGUGUGGCUGCUCUAAUGUGUAGCACAUGGCUCUAGGGAUGUAGCCACAUUAAAUAUGAUGGCAGCCAACUAUGACUUUUCAGUGAACUUGGUUCAGUCUUUGACGUGUUGAGGGCUCCAGAUUUAUCCAAUUGGGCUGAAAUUUGGAUAUGUUAUAAUAGACACCCAUUGGAACAACGUCUAUGAAGGAUGUCUCCUCAUCCGACCUGUGUAAGUUACUGAAAGGAGGCCUGCAAGAUGACCUACGAAACUGGACUGACAAGGAGUGUGGCACAAAUUGGUUUUGUCUUUAAGCCCAUAUUCCUCUUGUGCCACUCAGCCCUUAACAUGCAUGAAUUAUAUCAAAUGUCAUCCCCUUGCUAUCUUAACCUACAAAGCACACAAACAUAGGUAAGAGACUUAAAAUAAAGAGAAGCUAACAAAAUUACUAAGGAAAGAAGGCAUGCAAAUGUGUGAAAUUAUGAGCUUAUCAUGAUCCGAAGCAAAACCAUCAACAACGCUCUUAAGUCAAAUAAUACUCUAAACAAUGCAGGUAAUGAAUUCAACAAUUUUAUGAAUGCCCACUGUAAUCAAGAUAACAUAACCUCCCAUAUUGUGAUGUUUAACAUCCUAACACAAACGCAAGUUGUUUAAGGCCUCAGCCCAACUCGUACAACAAUCCAAAAUGAUAUUUAUACAUGUUUGACCCAAACACAUUUGCACAACCCUCCCUUAGCCAAACGAGAGUAGAAACAACUAUUCAAUUGCACCUUGGUAUCAACCAAGUUUCAGGACCAACGACAAGGUCCAAGUUUAACCCACGGCUGCACCUAGGCUGCCUACGUACCCUUACUGAAGGAUCAAGUCACACAUAGUUCUUUCUACAAACAUGUCUUUCCCAAUAUAACAUAACAAUCCUUUAUUCAUCUCCCUGAUAAUCACAUAAUCUCCCCAUACAUCGAAAAAUCCAACGACACGUAUGGGGUCUAUCAACACGCCGGAAAACCUACGUCACGUGUGACCUAACCAUCACAUAAUCUCCCUAUACGCCGAAAAAAUCCAACGCCAUGUAUGGGGUCUGUCAACACGCCGGAAAAUCCUACGCCAAGUGUGACCUAACCAUCACAUAAUCUCCCCAUACGCCGAAAAAUCCAACGCCACAUAUGGGGUCUGUCUUAAAGCCAAAAAAUCCUACGCCACUUGGGACCUAACAAUCACAUAAUCUCCUCAUACACCAGAAAAUCCAACGCCAAGUAUGGGGUCUAUCCUCACGCCGAAAAAUCCUAAGCCACGUGAGACCUAACUAUCACAUAAUCUCCCGAUACGCCGGAAAAUCCAAUGCCACGUAUGGGGUCUGUCAGC